Molecule: non-coding RNA, 1069 nt
Organism: Vicugna pacos (alpaca)
Lineage: Eukaryota; Metazoa; Chordata; Mammalia; Artiodactyla; Camelidae
Source: RefSeq, a predicted model, not a curated record
AGGUAGAGAGUGUCAUGAGAGGCUAAAUAAGGGAAGCUAGUCUUGGGAGGUAAGGAGCACAGGGGAGGAUUUCUCUCAAGAAGUGAUGAUCAAGGUGAAAUUUGAAAACUAGGCAAAGCUCAGGGUGGGGAGUUCUAGGUAAGGGAACAGUGUGAGUGAACACCUGGGAUCAAAUACUAGGCAGGCAGGUAGGCCAGUGUGGCUAAAGUAUAGGAAGAAAGGGAGAGUGAACAUAAUCUUUGAUGAUGCUGGAGAGGUCAGCUGUGGACAGACCUUGUAGUCCAUGAUGAGAGAUUUAUUCUUUAUGCUAAAAACAAUGGAAAAUCAUGGAAGGAUUUUGAGCAGGGUAGGUGAAUGGAAAGCAGGUGGACAUGAUCAUCAAACAGUAUGUCUAUAAAGCUAGAGCAGAAUGCGAUGGAAUGAGAACACAUCUGAGAUGCAACAGUUGCUGGAGAAGAGAAAGAUCUAUUUGCCAGCUUAUAAAAUGUUUUUGAGACUUGGAAGAUGGACUGGAGAUUGCAUAUUACAGGAAUGUGAAUUAGCCACUAAGAAUAGCUUUGGACAUCUUUCCCAACCCCACGUCAUGAUUUUGUACUAAGAAUACAUUACUGCAUUUAUUUUUCUAAUAUUUUAUUUAAAAAUCUGGAGUCUGUGGUUAAGAGGAGAGGAUCUGAAACUAGACCGUCUGGGUUCACUUUGGGGACUAUAGCAUGACCUGUCUGUGUGACCUUGGGAGGCUGCUACUCUCAACCGAGGUGGAAGACUCAUCAGACCAUGGAAUCACAGUCAACCCUGCUAAGGUGCAGGCGCACUUACAGGAAGACCACUGCGUUGACUAAUCUAAUGUCCUCUGGAUAAUUAACCAAAUGUAUAUUGAUGAAGAAAUAUUUCUUAAAAGAGGCUCAGCUCUUGUCCUUGGGAUUUUCCUUCAAGCCACUGACACUCUGAAUAUGUUGAUGGCCACACACAAGCAAUAAUAAGUAUGUCCAUCGGCUGCCUGGCUUCCCUGAACACCUGACUUCAAAAAUGUUUAAGUGUGAGACAAACACAACAACAAUUGUGUCUUACA